GAAAUUGGGCCAUGUUUGGCGAACGUCCCCCUGUUGCGGGGGGCGUGGCGUACGGCUCAGUAACACGUAGUCAACCUGCCCUGGAGACAAGGACAACCCCGGGAAACUGGGAUUAAUCCUCGAUAUGUCAUUUCAUCUGGAAGGAGAGAUGGCUGAAAGGGGUGCGCGGGCUUCUUCCGUGUAUCUGCUCCAGGAUGGGACUGCGACCGAUCAGGCUGUUGGCGGGGCAAUGGCCCACCAAACCAGUAACCGGUACGGGCCUUGAGAGAGGGGGCCCGGAGAUGGACACUGAGAAAAGGGUCCAGGUCCUACGGUGCGCAGCAGGCGCGAAACCUUCGCAAUGUGCGAAAGCAUGACGAGGUUAAUCCGAGUGGCUCCCGCUGAGGGGGUCUUUUGCCGGUUCUAAAAAGGCCGGAGAAUAAGGGGAGGGCAAGCCUGGUGUCAGCCGCCGCGGUAAUACCAGCUCCUCGAGUGGUCGGGGCGAUUAUUGGGCCUAAAGCAUCCGUAGCCUGUUCCGCAGGUCUUCAGUAAAAUCCAACCGCUUAACGGUUGGCUCGCGGGAGAUACCACGGGACUAGGAGGCGGGAGAGGCGGACGGUACUCCACGUGUAGGGGUAAAAUCCUUUGAUCCGUGGAAGACCACCAGUGGCGAAGGCGGUCCGCCAGAACGCGCUCGACGGUGAGGGAUGAAAGCUGGGGGAGCGAAACGGAUUAGAUACCCGGGUAGCCCCACCCGUAAAACCAUGCGAGCUAGAUGAUCCAUUCGCAAAUCGCGACCGGAUUGUCCCAGGGAAGCCGUUAAGCUCCCCCCCCUGUGGAGUACGGUCGCAAGACUGAAACCUAAAGAGAUUGGCCGGGGGAGCA
Molecule: ribosomal RNA, 864 nt
Filed under: uncultured archaeon
Lineage: Archaea
Description: bacterial SSU rRNA
Rfam family: Archaeal small subunit ribosomal RNA
Source: RNAcentral